This 499-nucleotide ribosomal RNA is filed under the name uncultured bacterium. RNAcentral's name for it is "partial 16S ribosomal RNA". It matches the Rfam family "Bacterial small subunit ribosomal RNA", at positions 28 to 507 of the family's 1533-position model. The record is from RNAcentral.
GACGAACGCUGGCGGCGUGCCUAAUACAUGCAAGUCGAGCGAAGUUUUUCUGGUGCUUGCACCGGAAAAACUUAGCGGCGAACGGGUGAGUAACACGUAGAGAACCUGCCUUAUAGACUGGGACAACUAUUGGAAACGAUAGCUAAUACCGGAUAACAGCAUUAACUGCAUGGUUGAUGUUUGAAAGUUGGUUUUGCUAACACUAUGAGAUGGCUUUGCGGUGCAUUAGCUAGUUGGUGGGGUAAAGGCCUACCAAGGCGACGAUGCAUAGCCGACCUGAGAGGGUGAUCGGCCACACUGGGACUGAGACACGGCCCAGACUCCUACGGGAGGCAGCAGUAGGGAAUCUUCCGCAAUGGGCGAAAGCCUGACGGAGCAACGCCGCGUGAGUGAAGAAGGAUUUCGGUUCGUAAAGCUCUGUUGUUAGGGAAGAAUGAUUGUGUAGUAACUAUACACAGUAGAGACGGUACCUAACCAGAAAGCCACGGCUAACUACGUG